CGCAACUCCCGGCGACCCCCGCGCUCCCGGGUGGCAAGAUGGUGGCGCGCAGGACGAAGCUCGCGGCGCGGGACCCGGAGGACGGUAUCCCGAGCCCACCGUGCUACGCAGCUAUUCCAAUCAAGUUCUCUGAAAAGCAACAGGCUUCUCACUACCUCUAUGUGAGAGCACACGGCAUUCAACAAGGCACCAAGUCCACCUGGCCUCAGAAGAGGACUCUUUUUGUCUUCAAUGUGCCCCCAUACUGCACAGAGCAGGAGAGCCUGUCCUGCCUCCAGUCCACCUGUGGCCUUGUCCAGUCUGUAGAGUUGAAGGAGAAGCUGGAGCUGGCUGGGAGUCAAGGUCGAAGUUUUUUCAUCCAAAGCCAGUUCCGGGUUUCCAGGUAGCCUACGUGGUGUUCCAGAAGCCAAGUGGGGUGUCAGCGGCCUUGGCCCUGAAGGGCCCCCUGCUGGUGUCCACAGAGAGCCACCCUGUGAAGAGUGGCAUUCACAAAUGGAUCAGUGACUACGCAGACUCUGUGCCCGACCCUGAGGCCCUGAGGGUGGAAGUGGACACGUUCAUGGAGGCAUAUGACCAGAAGAUCGCUGAGGAAGAAGCUAAGGCCAAGGAGGAGGAGGGGGUCCCUGACGAGGAGGGCUGGGUGAAGGUGACCCGCCGGGGCCGGCGGCCUGUGCUCCCCCGGACUGAGGCAGCCAGCUUGCGGGUGCUGGAGAGGGAGAGACGGAAGCGCAGCCAAAAAGAGCUGCUCAACUACGCCUGGCAGCAUCGAGAGAGCAAGAUGGAGCAUCUAGCGCAGCUGCGCAAGAAGUUUGAGGAGGACAAGCAGAGGAUCGAGCUGCUGCGGGCCCAGCGCAAAUUCCGACCCUACUGAGCCGUGAGAGCCGCAGUGGAUGGCUGGAGGUGCAGGGCCAGGAGGAACAUGAGUGUCCACCAAAGGAGACAGGGCUGGGAGCGCUGCCCGGGGCCCAGGUCCUCCCUAAUGACAGCAUGCACGAAAGCCCGCUUCUCACAUCUGAUUCCAGGAGAAAGAGCGGCGUGUCCAGCAAGAUAAGUUUAUCCACCAUCUCGGGGAAGGUACAGAAAAACUGUGAGGAUGCCAAAAGGGGAGAAUGAAUAGGGGGAAGAAGGAAAGGACACUCCCGCCUUUCCCUGGGGACCCUGGAGUUCCCCGAAACAUCUUUUAGGCUGGGGGGAGGGUGCUGACCAAGAGGCCAGAGGAGAAUCUUCUAUCUAUGGUGUGCCUUCCCCCACCACCCCUAAGUCUGCACCCAGCACUGAGCUCCAGACCUUGGUGAUGGCUGGACUCCAGGGUGCGGUGGGACCGGGUAUGGGGGCGUGGAAACAUGAACUCUACCAGGAGUCUCCACCGUUUACACCAACUUCCUGGUAUAAGGACUGUCACUGUGACAGGAGGAGGCACUUUCUGUCCCAGGUACCUUCUCCUUCCUCCUUUGUGCUCCCCUCCCCACUCCACCCAAGGGAGCCCCAGUUGGCCAGACAAAGCCAUCUACUCACCAUUCCGCCCACGACGCCACCUGGGGGACAAAAGAGCUGUGGGUGACAUUCCCUCACUCCCUCCCCAGCUGCAUACCCUAAAGCUUCUUCCCACCAGUUGGGGGGGGGGGGCACCAUAUGGGUGGCUGGGGGCUCAGCAUCUGGGCCAUGAUGUCCCCUUCAUCAGACCUGACCACUCAAAAGACCACAUUUCCCUCAUCCCUGUGUCCCUUGCGGCAGUUGCCUGAGGUCAGAGGGUACAGUGGUCAACCUCUGACUGACCCUCUCAUCUCUCUUUGCAGAUCUCAUAAGUGCAGGGGAAAGGGGUGGGGCAGCAGCUCCUAUCCUUCCCUCCCAGCCCUACUCCGGGCCCGGUCAGCUCCUGGCCACUGUACUCACCGAAGCUGUGGCCCAGAAUGGAGAAUCGAUUCCAUUUCAAGGCUGGAAAUGCAAGGAGCCAGAAGGUCCGGCUGGGCACAGGCUCAGCCCACGAUCUUGCUUCUAGUCCCCAGGCUCAGGAAAUCCCUUCCCAGCAUCUGGGGUGUCCACCCAGGACACUAGCUUGGGGGACCCACUGGAGGAAGCGAACUCUUCAACUUUCCCAAGAUCUCCCGUGAAUUGCUGGCAGACCUGGGGCCAGAGCCCAGGCCCCACUCUCAGGCCAGCGCUGCUUCCUGGAUCCUACCCCGCCUCCAGUGAUAAGAGGGGGUGCCCUAGAGCACCCCCCACACCGCCGAAAAUACACACUCUGUUUCUUACCUGCCACAACUCUUCGGAUCUCACUCACAAAAGUCUGGAGGUAAUAUGGGACACCUGGGCUGUAAUGGGACGAGAGCCCAUGACCUCCGAAAUCCAUGGCAACGUAAUAAAAGUCUGAAACAGAGAGAAGCGGG
Homo sapiens (human) is the source of this 2387-nucleotide long non-coding RNA. Ensembl annotates it as ribosomal RNA processing 7 homolog B, pseudogene. Its record names the gene RRP7BP. Lineage: Eukaryota; Metazoa; Chordata; Mammalia; Primates; Hominidae. The record is from Ensembl.